RNAcentral lists this ribosomal RNA (253 nucleotides) under uncultured bacterium. Its description in RNAcentral is "partial 16S ribosomal RNA". It matches the Rfam family "Bacterial small subunit ribosomal RNA", at positions 524 to 776 of the family's 1533-position model. The record is from RNAcentral.
GACGUAGGGCGCGAGCGUUGUCCGGAUUUAUUGGGCGUAAAGCGCGCGUAGGCGGCAGCGUGUGUCGGGCGUGAAAUCCCACGGCUCAACCGUGGAAGUGCACUCGAAACUGCGCAGCUAGAGUCUCGGAGAGGAAGGCGGAAUGCUUGGUGUAGAGGUGAAAUUCGUAGAUAUCAAGCGGAACACCGGUGGCGAAGGCGGCCUUCUGGACGAUGACUGACGCUGAAGUGCGAAAGCGUGGGGAGCAAACAGG